GACGAACGCUGGCGGCGUGCCUAAUACAUGCAAGUCGAGCGGGCCUCCGGAGGUGCUUGCACCUCCGGAAGGCCAGCGGCGGACGGGUGAGUAACACGUGGGCAACCUGCCUUUGAGGCCGGGAUAACACCGGGAAACCGGUGCUAAUACCGGGUACGUCCUCUUUCGCGCCUGCGAGAGGGGAGAAAGACGGUCUUUAAGGCCGUCGCUCAAAGAGGGGCCCGCGGCGCAUUAGCUUGUUGGUGGGGUAAGGGCCUACCAAGGCGACGAUGCGUUGCCGGCCUGAGAGGGGGAUCGGCCACACUGGGACUGGGACACGGCCCAGACUCCUGCGGGAGGCAGCAGUAGGGAAUCAUCCGCAAUGGGCGAAAGCCUGACGGUGCAACGCCGCGUGAGUGAGGAAGGUUUUCGGAUCGUAAAGCUCUGUUGUGAGGGAAGAACAGCUUCCGGAGGAAAUGCCGGAGGUUUGCCGGUACCUCACCAGAAAGCCCCGGCUAACUACGUGCCAGCCGCCGCGGUAA
This 521-nucleotide ribosomal RNA is filed under the name uncultured bacterium. Its description in RNAcentral is "partial 16S ribosomal RNA". It matches the Rfam family "Bacterial small subunit ribosomal RNA", at positions 28 to 523 of the family's 1533-position model. The record is from RNAcentral.